UCCUUGGUGGCUAAGAUGGUAAAGAAUCUGCCUGAAAUGCAGAAGGCCCAGGUUCGAUCUCUGGGUCAGGAA
RNAcentral lists this transfer RNA (72 nucleotides) under Bos taurus (domestic cattle). It matches the Rfam family "tRNA". From Rfam's summary of the family: Transfer RNA (tRNA) molecules are approximately 80 nucleotides in length. Their secondary structure includes four short double-helical elements and three loops (D, anti-codon, and T loops). The record is from Rfam by way of RNAcentral. RNAcentral also lists the same sequence under 3 other names. Lineage: Eukaryota; Metazoa; Chordata; Mammalia; Artiodactyla; Bovidae.